This 253-nucleotide ribosomal RNA is filed under the name uncultured bacterium. RNAcentral describes it as "partial 16S ribosomal RNA". It matches the Rfam family "Bacterial small subunit ribosomal RNA", at positions 524 to 776 of the family's 1533-position model. The record is from RNAcentral.
UACGGAGGGUGCGAGCGUUAAUCGGAAUUACUGGGCGUAAAGGGUGCGUAGGUGGUUGAUUAAGUUAUCUGUGAAAUUCCUGGGCUUAACCUGGGACGGUCAGAUAAUACUGGUUGACCCGAGUAUGGGAGAGGGUAGUGGAAUUUCCGGUGUAGCGGUGAAAUGCGUAGAGAUCGGAAGGAACACCAGUGGCGAGGGCGGCUACCUGGCCUAAUACUGACACUGAGGCACGUAAGCGUGGGGAGCAAACUGG